AAGUUUCAGCUCAUCGGGGUGAGAUGAUUAAAUGAAGAUGGAUGAAGAUGGCUGUUUCUUCGGCGAUGGAGGCACUCUAGCUACGUUUCACCGGAAGAGUAGAUGUUUACGAACUGAACUUUUGGAUCGGAUAUAUGAAGACGCGCGCUGCAUUUUCCUUGACGGAGACGCACAGCUCUGACACUAGACAAUAUUAUACACUCAAAGGGACCGCGUUUCGCCGGAAGAAUAAAUAAUUACAAAUGGUAUUCGUCAGUGAACAUUUUCAAACUGGGAAUAAUAUAUCAUAAGCAGAUUGAAAUGUGUGAACGUUUCAGUGUUUCGAAGACUAAGUUUCGUAGCAGAUUUUGAUUCCGU
Metopolophium dirhodum (rose-grain aphid) is the source of this 357-nucleotide long non-coding RNA. RefSeq lists it as uncharacterized. The transcript is spliced from 3 exons. Lineage: Eukaryota; Metazoa; Arthropoda; Insecta; Hemiptera; Aphididae. The record is from RefSeq and is a predicted model, not a curated record.